CCGAGUUAUCACAACUCCAAACCCAUGUGAAUCAUACCUUUUGUUGCCUCGGCGGAGGAGAGGGAAGCCCUCGUGGCCUCUGUUCUCGCCGCCGGUGGACACCUAAACUCUUUUGCAUUUAUGUCAAUCUGAGUAGACUAUAUAAAUAAGUCA
Molecule: unclassified non-coding RNA, 153 nt
Filed under: uncultured Xylariales
Lineage: Eukaryota; Fungi; Ascomycota; Sordariomycetes; Xylariales
Description: sequence contains ITS1
Source: RNAcentral